Molecule: ribosomal RNA, 253 nt
Filed under: uncultured bacterium
Lineage: Bacteria
Description: partial 16S ribosomal RNA
Rfam family: Bacterial small subunit ribosomal RNA
Source: RNAcentral
UACGGAGGGUGCAAGCGUUGUUCGGAAUCACUGGGCGUAAAGCGCGUGUAGGCGGCCUUCUAAGUCUGGUGUGAAAUCCCGGGGCUCACCCCCGGAAGUGCACUGGAUACUGGGAGACUAGAGUACCGGAGAGGAGGGUGGAAUUCCUGGUGUAGCGGUGAAAUGCGUAGAUAUCAGGAAGAACACCGGUGGCGAAGGCGGCCCUCUGGACGGAUACUGACGCUCAGGCGCGACAGCGUGGGGAUCAAACAGG